RNA transcript from Polyodon spathula (Mississippi paddlefish), 2191 nucleotides. It is a transcript of the gene named isocitrate dehydrogenase [NAD] subunit gamma, mitochondrial-like, with no coding region annotated. The record is from RefSeq and is a predicted model, not a curated record. Lineage: Eukaryota; Metazoa; Chordata; Actinopteri; Acipenseriformes; Polyodontidae. The transcript has 14 exons.
AGGUUCGAUUGGUUGCCGGUUUGGUUUUUAAACCGUCUCUCGCAUUUGCGGGAGUGCUGCCUUGGGUUUGUCGGAGUUUCAUACAGUGCUUCCCCUCUCAGACGCUGUGGGGUAGGAUGAAGGCUACUUGCAGGUCCAGUGCAGUGCUGCCAGAUUUCUCCUGGGUUUACAGCCCAGUCGCUUACAAAAUAACCCAAUUGUUUUAACUCAAAGAAAAUUUAUUAUUAACACACGGGCCUAUGUAUGCAUGCAUGCAUGCCAAAAAAAAAAAAAACACUCAAAAGCCGGUACGGUGGUACUGUAUUCCAAACACUAUUGCAAACAUGAAAACAGUUUCAAUCUUUUAAAGUUCUACCACUAAUCUAAUUACAUUAGCAACCCGCGGCUCCUUAAUAUCUCCCGCGGGUGUGUUUUUUGAAGUAGCCCAAUACCGCGGGAAAACCGCGGACCUGUCAACACUGGUCCGGUGCGCCUAACAGAACAUAAACAACCAAUCACAGGUUUUUGGGGUUGCAGGGAGCAGCUGGAGAGGCAAAGCUUGGGAUUCUGAUAAGAUUAUUCCCCCCCCCGCCAAGUACGGAGGCCGGCACACGGUCACCAUGAUCCCGGGGGAUGGGAUCGGGCCGGAUUUGCUCCGGCACGUCCAGGAUGUGUUCCGGUACUCGUGUGUGCCCGUGGAUUUCGAGGUGGUUCACGUCAACUCUGCCAUGAUGGAGGAGGAUGACAUCAACAACGCCAUCACAGCCAUCCGACGCAAUGGAGUGGCACUGAAGGGAAACAUCGAAACCAGCCACACCAUGCCCCCCUCCCACAAAUCCAGGAACAACCUGCUCCGCACUAGUCUGGACCUGUACGCCAACGUGAUUCACUGCCAGAGUCUGCCGGGCGUGCAGACGAGACACAGAGACAUCGACAUCUUGAUCAUCCGAGAGAAUACAGAGGGAGAGUACAGCAGCCUGGAGCACGAGAGUGUCCCUGGCGUGGUGGAGAGUCUCAAGAUCAUCACAAAGUCGAACUCUCUGCGCAUCGCGGAUUACGCCUUCCGCCUGGCGAGGGAGAAGGGCAGGAAGAGGGUCACUGCCGUGCACAAAGCAAACAUCAUGAAGCUGGGUGAUGGGCUGUUCCUGCAGUGCUGUAAAGAGGUGGCUUCUGGAUAUCCAGACAUCAUUUUUGACAGCAUGAUCGUGGACAACACCACCAUGCAGCUGGUCUCGAAGCCCCAGCAGUUUGAUGUCAUGGUGAUGCCCAAUCUCUAUGGUAACGUGGUCAGCAACGUGUGCGCGGGGCUGGUGGGGGGGCCCGGCCUGGUCCCCGGGGCCAACUUGGGGCGAGACUACGCCGUCUUUGAAACGGCCACCAGGAACACGGGGAAGAGCAUCGCCAACAAGAACACGGCCAACCCCACCGCCAUGCUGCUGGCCAGCUGUAUGAUGCUGGAUCACCUGCAGCUCCACGAUUACGCUGCGUUAAUCCGAAGCGCUAUUCUGAGGACCAUGAACGAGACCCGGAUGCACACGGCUGAUAUUGGGGGUCAGGGCACCACGUCAGAGGUAGUUCAGAGCAUCAUGAGGCUGAUGCAGGGAGCCUCUCUGCGCAGUGCGGCCGCUUUCUGAGUCCCGGCGUGGGUGAGGAGGCUACCCCUGGGGUACUGGGGUAUUGGGGCACUGGGCUGUGUGAUGGAAGGGGAGAGUCCAGAGGUGACAGACACAGAGAGAAGGAGAGGCGAUUUACCAAGUGCGGGAUUAAAACUGAACAAGAAUUAAUUGCAAGGCUUUCAACACCUCACAAGUCGCUUCUCCUCCUCCUCUUCCUCCUCUUCGUCUGUCAGUUGGUCACUAUGCAGUUGCGCCUGGCAGCUGAAGGGAUAUUCACAAUGACGUGGCGCACCGCGCGCCCGGUACUCCCUCGCACAGCAGAGCGCCUCCUCGGUAACCAUCCUUGCAGAUCUCACGGCACCGAGCAACGUUUAAACGUGUCCUCUUAAUGUAUUUCAGUGGGUGCUUUGCUGUGUCAGUUUUUGUAAAGUCCUGACUUGCCUUUCUUCCUUCUAUCCCAUAAUAACCCUAUUUUCCAAACAGACUCUUUAAAUGUAAGCUUUUUUUUUCAUCAACAGAAGUUUUUGCAUUGCCUAGAAUUGUAGAAUUCAGACAUAAUUAAAAAAAAUUGUAAUAAAUAUAUAUAUAUAUCUCAA